UACGUAGGUGGAAAUCGUUGUCCGGAAUUACUGGGCGUAAAGGGCGUGUAGGCGGGGCGGCAAGUCAGAUGUGAAAUCCCAUGGCCUAACUGUGGAGCUGCAUCUGAAACUGUCGUUCUUGAGUGUCGGAGAGGAAAGUGGAAUUCCCAGUGUAGCGGUGAAAUGCGUAGAGAUUGGGAGGAACACCAGUGGCGAAGGCGGCUUUCUGGACGAUAACUGACGCUGAGGCGCGAAAGCGUGGGGAGCAAACAGG
This 253-nucleotide ribosomal RNA is filed under the name uncultured bacterium. RNAcentral describes it as "partial 16S ribosomal RNA". It matches the Rfam family "Bacterial small subunit ribosomal RNA", at positions 524 to 776 of the family's 1533-position model. The record is from RNAcentral.